AACGAACGCUGGCGGCAUGCCUAACACAUGCAAGUCGAACGAGACCUUCGGGUCUAGUGGCGCACGGGUUCGUAACGCGUGGGAACCUGCCCUUAGGUUCGGAAUAACUCCCCGAAAGGGGUGCUAAUACCGGAUAAUGUCUUCGGACCAAAGAUUUAUCGCCUUUGGAUGGGCCCGCGUUGGAUUAGCUAGUUGGUAGGGUAAAAGCCUACCAAGGCGACGAUCCAUAGCUGGUCUGAGAGGAUGAUCAGCCACACUGGGACUGAGACACGGCCCAGACUCCUACGGGAGGGAGCAGUGGGGAAUAGUGGAAAAUGGGGGAAAGCAUGAUCCAGCAAGGCCGCGUGAGUGAUGAAGGCCUUAGGGUUGUAAAGCUCUUUUACCCGGGAUGAUAAUGACAGUACCGGGAGAAUAAGCUCCGGCUAACUCCGUG
Molecule: ribosomal RNA, 433 nt
Filed under: uncultured bacterium
Lineage: Bacteria
Description: partial 16S ribosomal RNA
Rfam family: Bacterial small subunit ribosomal RNA
Source: RNAcentral